GUUUAAGAGGCACUUCUCAUUAAGAUGAAAUACUUUGAUCUCAUAGGAUCAUCUGUUUUUAAAGAGGUAAUGAUAUACUACUUUUUUUUCCCCCAGUUAACCAAAUCUCAAUAGCAAAUGUCCCCUUGACCUGCCCAGCACACGCACAGGCGCGUGAGCUGCUGUGAACUGGAUGCAGCAAUCAGAGCUGAUCGGAAGGAAAAAGGGGUCAGGAGAAGAGCUCUGAGAGGGCACAGCAGGGACCAUUAAGAACUUUCCUCUAAUCCAGACAAAUGAGUUUGCCUCCCCCUGCUGUCAGGCAAUGACAACGACGUUUUGUUACUGAGCUUUCAUUUCCCUUGAUGGACUAGAGGUGCAAGUACUCAGCAGCCAUAACUUGAGAUGUAGGUUCGGGCCAACUCAGAUCUCGGGAAGGAGGGGGCAGGCAGGGGAUGAC
Long non-coding RNA from Harpia harpyja (harpy eagle), 436 nucleotides. RefSeq lists it as uncharacterized. NCBI's taxonomy places the organism in Eukaryota, Metazoa, Chordata, Aves, Accipitriformes, Accipitridae. The record is from RefSeq and is a predicted model, not a curated record. The transcript is spliced from 3 exons.